UACGUAGGGUGCAAGCGUUGUCCGGAAUUAUUGGGCGUAAAGAGCGUGUAGGCGGCCUCGUAAGUCCGCUGUGAAAGUCCAGGGCUCAACCCUGGAAAGCCGGUGGAUACUGCGAGGCUAGAGUCCGGAAGGGGCGAGUGGAAUUCCUGGUGUAGCGGUGAAAUGCGCAGAUAUCAGGAGGAACACCGGUGGCGAAGGCGGGUCUCUGGGCCGUAACUGACGCUGAGGAGCGAAAGCGUGGGGAGCGAACAGG
RNAcentral lists this ribosomal RNA (253 nucleotides) under uncultured bacterium. RNAcentral's name for it is "partial 16S ribosomal RNA". It matches the Rfam family "Bacterial small subunit ribosomal RNA", at positions 524 to 776 of the family's 1533-position model. The record is from RNAcentral.